This is a long non-coding RNA of Ailuropoda melanoleuca (giant panda), 339 nucleotides long. RefSeq lists it as uncharacterized. The record is from RefSeq and is a predicted model, not a curated record. The transcript has 3 exons. NCBI's taxonomy places the organism in Eukaryota, Metazoa, Chordata, Mammalia, Carnivora, Ursidae.
ACGACAGCCCAGCAAUUCGCUUCCUGGGUAUUUACCCAAGAGGAAUGAAAACAUAUGUCUGCGCAAAGAUCUGUUGGCAAAUGUUCAUAGCAGCUUUGUUCGUUCUUGCCAAAAAGCUGGAAACACCCCAAAUGUCUACCAACAGGAGCACGGAUGAACGCGCUGAGGUCCACUGGCACCACACCACGGAGUACUCGCAGACACAGCCGUGAGCGAAGAACAAAGAAAUGACAGUUCCUGGCCCACGGUGAAAUGCUCAGUGAAUGUUAGCAAUUAUUCCUGUCACUACCCAGUGGUCCGGUGACAUCCACCAAAGCCUUGAAGAGAAAAAAUAUUGUA